GGCCUAACACAUGCAAGUCGAGCGGUAACAGGACUAGCUUGCUAGUUGCUGACGAGCGGCGGACGGGUGCGUAACACGUAGGAAUCUGCCCGGUAGUGGGGGAUAGCCCGGAGAAAUCCGGAUUAAUACCCCAUACGCCUUACGAGGGAAAGGAGGGGCCUCUUCGGAGCCUUUCGCUAUCGGAUGAGCCUGCGUCGGAUUAGCUAGUUGGUGGGGUAAAGGCCUACCAAGGCGACGAUCCGUAGCUGGUCUGAGAGGAUGAUCAGCCACACUGGGACUGAGACACGGCCCAGACUCCUACGGGAGGCAGCAGUGGGGAAUAUUGCACAAUGGGGGAAACCCUGAUGCAGCCAUGCCGCGUGUGUGAAGAAGGCUCUAGGGUUGUAAAGCACUUUCAGCGAGGAGGAAAGG
Molecule: ribosomal RNA, 411 nt
Filed under: uncultured Gammaproteobacteria bacterium
Lineage: Bacteria; Pseudomonadati; Pseudomonadota; Gammaproteobacteria
Description: bacterial SSU rRNA
Rfam family: Bacterial small subunit ribosomal RNA
Source: RNAcentral